Long non-coding RNA from Setaria italica (foxtail millet), 1071 nucleotides. RefSeq lists it as uncharacterized. The transcript is spliced from 2 exons. The record is from RefSeq and is a predicted model, not a curated record. NCBI's taxonomy places the organism in Eukaryota, Viridiplantae, Streptophyta, Magnoliopsida, Poales, Poaceae.
UCACAGACAAUCGUUGCACUUUGUCUGUCUGUUCGUUUACCUUUUGCAUUAUGCCUGCUGCCAUACUCUUGCAUCUUUGGCUCUUUGCCUUUUCCAUUUCAUGUUAUAUUGACACAAUAUGGAUAAGAUCUGUGCAAGAGACAGGGUUUGGUGGGUGUUUUUUUUCCUGAAUUCCAUUUGCUUUGUGUGCACAUCUCGCAAUCUUUUUGUAACAAUGGUUCUGAUUGGUUGAUCAAUGUCUGCAUUUGUGCUGCUGAUGUCUAUAUCCAUUUCAUUUGGACAUAACUUCCCCCACAAAUAUUGUAUUCGAGUUUUGAGCCACUACCAUGAACUGCUGCAGUCCAUUAUGCUCUAAUGAGCUGCCCCUAGCAUGUUCUUGUAUCGAAGUCCAGAGUGGCUGAUUGCGCCAAUCAUUGAUACAAUUAUGCUCCGGCCUAGUUCAGGGUCUACCGGCCUGGCUUCAGAUUUGGUGCGCAACAAUUCAUGUGUAAGUUUGUGGUUAGGUUUUUCUGGGACAGGCAUAAAGUUGUUAUACUGAGCCUUCUGGUAUUAUGUUCUUCCUGGCUGCUUCUACUUGACCACUUAAGUACUGAUCAAAGUUGCAGUUGAUCUGCUAAAAGGUGACAGCACUUCGCCUUGGAUCCCUUAUUAAACUUUACCUCAGGAUCCGAACACCCUAAAUCAAGUUACAAAUGCUGGGGUGGAGACCAGAUGUCCAGCUCAGAUGGCAACUUUUGCAGCAGGAGUGAAGGACCAACUGGACUUGCAUCGUGGGAUACAGCAGGUUUACUGUCAAACUGUCAAUGAAGCUCCGGGGUCCGGGUGGCAGGCCGGGGAGAGGACAUCACUAGAGCUGGCAUGGAUGGACGGCUCUUUUCCUUCCCUACCCCACCACCAUCCCUUCCUCUCCAGCUUUUCUCGUGGUGGUUGAGCAGCUGCCGCUUGUUUAAGCCCCUGCUGUUUGCUUGGCUGCCGUUUGGUGCCGAUCACUGCUGUGGCGAGUAAUGGGCAAAAGAAUCUUGUAGCUUGUUCGUGUUGUUUUACUACUGGCGACAAGGAAAACGUCACAAA